AAAGUGCGAUACGUAGUGUGAAUUGCAUACUCCUGUGAAUCAUCGAAUCUUUGAACGCAGCUUGCACCUCUUCGGAGGUAUACCUGCAUGGGCAUCAAAAACCUAUAACAAACACAGCACUUUGUGGAAUACUUUGUGUGUGUGGGUGUUGACUUGAGGCUUCCACUGUGGUGUGAGUCUUUAAAAGAGGAGAGUGACUGGCUGUUGUCUGUCCGGUGGGUGUAGCUCGCCGAAAGUGAGGAAGAUUCCCGCUGAACGGAGGGUGAACUCGGCGGACGCCAAGGACGACAUGUUGGUUACUGCAACGAAAUACUGACCACUUCGUGGUGUGUUUCAUAUAUCUCUCAAUGAUCUCAUGUCAGGUAAGAGUACCCGCUGAACUUAA
RNAcentral lists this unclassified non-coding RNA (385 nucleotides) under uncultured Trichosporon. Its description in RNAcentral is "sequence contains ITS1". The stretch from base 1 to 97 matches the Rfam family "5.8S ribosomal RNA", at positions 50 to 154 of the family's 154-position model. The record is from RNAcentral. Lineage: Eukaryota; Fungi; Basidiomycota; Tremellomycetes.